This 492-nucleotide ribosomal RNA is filed under the name uncultured bacterium. RNAcentral describes it as "partial 16S ribosomal RNA". It matches the Rfam family "Bacterial small subunit ribosomal RNA", at positions 29 to 507 of the family's 1533-position model. The record is from RNAcentral.
AGUGAACGCUGGCGGUAGGCCUAACACAUGCAAGUCGAACGGCAGCACAGUAAGAGCUUGCUCUUACGGGUGGCGAGUGGCGGACGGGUGAGGAAUACAUCGGAAUCUACUUUUUCGUGGGGGAUAACGUAGGGAAACUUACGCUAAUACCGCAUACGACCUACGGGUGAAAGCAGGGGAUCUUCAGACCUUGCGCGAUUGCAUGAGCCGAUGUCGGAUUAGCUAGUUGGCGGGGUAAAGGCCCACCAAGGCGACGAUCCGUAGCUGGUCUGAGAGGAUGAUCAGCCACACUGGAACUGAGACACGGUCCAGACUCCUACGGGAGGCAGCAGUGGGGAAUAUUGGACAAUGGGCGCAAGCCUAAUCCAGCCAUACCGCGUGGGUGAAGAAGGCCUUCGGGUUGUAAAGCCCUUUUGUUGGGAAAGAAAAGCAGCAGGUUAAUACCCCGCUGUUCUGACGGUACCCAAAGAAUAAGCACCGGCUAACUUCGUG